RNAcentral lists this long non-coding RNA (230 nucleotides) under Dermacentor andersoni. RNAcentral's name for it is "uncharacterized LOC126533947". Lineage: Eukaryota; Metazoa; Arthropoda; Arachnida; Ixodida; Ixodidae. The record is from RNAcentral.
AAAAUAGAACAGCUCAGCUACUAGACAAAUCUCGAAGGUGCCUUGUCCAUCAACCAGCUCUUCGUCGAAUGAGAUUUUGCACCAUUUACUACUCCUGACGUGUAUCGACGGAUCUGUCUCGGAUGGGCUUUUUUAUGGAUCUACUGACAGCAUGUUCAAAAUACAUUUGAAGAGGUGCUCUUUACUGCUAUUUCUCAUCUCAAAACUACAAUAAAACUGUAAAAAUACAA